GUGUCAGCAGCCGCGGUAAUACGUAGGGGGCAAGCGUUGUCCGGAAUUAUUGGGCGUAAAGCGCGCGCAGGCGGUCCUUUAAGUCUUGUGUUUAAUCUCGGAGCUCAACUCUGGUACGCAUGGGAGACCGGGGGACUGGAGUGCGGGAGAGGAAAGUGGAAUUCCACGUGUAGCGGUGAAAUGCGUAGAGAUGUGGAGGAACACCAGUGGCGAAGGCGACCUUCUGGCCUGUAACUGACGCUGAGGCGCGAAAGCGUGGGGAGCAAACAGGAUUAGAUACCCUCGUAGUCC
Molecule: ribosomal RNA, 291 nt
Filed under: uncultured bacterium
Lineage: Bacteria
Description: partial 16S ribosomal RNA
Rfam family: Bacterial small subunit ribosomal RNA
Source: RNAcentral